UUAAGCGACUAAGCGUACACGGUGGAUGCCCUGGCAGUCAGAGGCGAUGAAGGACGUGCUAAUCUGCGAAAAGCGCCGGCGAGGUGAUAUGAACCUUUGACCCGGCGAUGUCCGAAUGGGGAAACCCAGUGCAAUUCGUUGCACUAUCGUUAACUGAAUACAUAGGUUAACGAGGCGAACCGGGGGAACUGAAACAUCUAAGUACCCCGAGGAAAAGAAAUCAACCGAGAUUCCCCCAGUAGCGGCGAGCGAACGGGGAGCAGCCCGGAGUCUGAAUCAGCUUGUGUGUUAGUGGAACGGUCUGGAAAGUCCGACGGUACAGGGUGAUAGUCCCGUACACGAAAGGGCACACAUAAUGAUGACGAGUAGGGCGAGGCACGAGAAACUUUGUCUGAAUAUGGGGGGACCAUCCUCCAAGGCUAAAUACUCCUGACUGACCGAUAGUGAACCAGUACCGUGAGGGAAAGGCGAAAAGAACCCCGGCGAGGGGAGUGAAAAAGAACCUGAAACCGUGUACGUACAAGCAGUGGGAGCCUCUUUAUGGGGUGACUGCGUACCUUUUGUAUAAUGGGUCAGCGACUUAUAUUCUGUAGCAAGGUUAACCGUAUAGGGGAGCCGAAGGGAAACCGAGUCUUAACUGGGCGUUAAGUUGCAGGGUAUAGACCCGAAACCCGGUGAUCUAGCCAUGGGCAGGUUGAAGGUUGGGUAACACUAACUGGAGGACCGAACCGACUAAUGUUGAAAAAUUAGCGGAUGACCUGUGGCUGGGGGUGAAAGGCCAAUCAAACCGGGAGAUAGCUGGUUCUCCCCGAAAGCUAUUUAGGUAGCGCCUCGUGAACUCAUCUUCGGGGGUAGAGCACUGUUUCGGCUAGGGGGCCAUCCCGGCUUACCAACCCGAUGCAAACUACGAAUACCGAAGAAUGUUAUCACGGGAGACACACGGCGGGUGCUAACGUCCGUCGUGAAGAGGGAAACAACCCAGACCGCCAGCUAAGGUCCCAAAGUCAUGGUUAAGUGGGAAACGAUGUGGGAAGGCACAGACAGCCAGGAUGUUGGCUUAGAAGCAGCCAUCAUUUAAAGAAAGCGUAAUAGCUCACUGGUCGAGUCGGCCUGCGCGGAAGAUGUAACGGGGCUAAACCAUGCACCGAAGCUGCGGCAGCGACGCUUAUGCGUUGUUGGGUAGGGGAGCGUUCUGUAAGCCGUUGAAGGUGUGCUGUGAGGCAUGCUGGAGGUAUCAGAAGUGCGAAUGCUGACAUAAGUAACGAUAAAGCGGGUGAAAAGCCCGCUCGCCGGAAGACCAAGGGUUCCUGUCCAACGUUAAUCGGGGCAGGGUGAGUCGACCCCUAAGGCGAGGCCGAAAGGCGUAGUCGAUGGGAAACAGGUUAAUAUUCCUGUACUUGGUGUUACUGCGAAGGGGGGACGGAGAAGGCUAUGUCAGCCGGGCGACGGUUGUCCCGGUUUAAGCAUGUAGGCGGAGGUUCCAGGUAAAUCCGGUACCUUUUAACGCUGAGGUGUGAUGACGAGGCACUACGGUGCUGAAGUAACAAAUGCCCUGCUUCCAGGAAAAGCCUCUAAGCAUCAGGUAACACGAAAUCGUACCCCAAACCGACACAGGUGGUCAGGUAGAGAAUACCAAGGCGCUUGAGAGAACUCGGGUGAAGGAACUAGGCAAAAUGGUGCCGUAACUUCGGGAGAAGGCACGCUGAUAUGUAGGUGAAGUCCCUGCGGACGGAGCUGAAAUCAGUCGAAGAUACCAGCUGGCUGCAACUGUUUAUUAAAAACACAGCACUGUGCAAACACGAAAGUGGACGUAUACGGUGUGACGCCUGCCCGGUGCCGGAAGGUUAAUUGAUGGGGUUAGCGGCAACGCGAAGCUCUUGAUCGAAGCCCCGGUAAACGGCGGCCGUAACUAUAACGGUCCUAAGGUAGCGAAAUUCCUUGUCGGGUAAGUUCCGACCUGCACGAAUGGCGUAAUGAUGGCCAGGCUGUCUCCACCCGAGACUCAGUGAAAUUGAACUCGCUGUGAAGAUGCAGUGUACCCGCGGCAAGACGGAAAGACCCCGUGAACCUUUACUAUAGCUUGACACUGAACACUGGUCCUUGAUGUGUAGGAUAGGUGGGAGGCUUUGAAGCGUGGACGCCAGUCUGCGUGGAGCCA
This 2158-nucleotide ribosomal RNA is filed under the name bioreactor metagenome. RNAcentral's name for it is "bacterial LSU rRNA". It matches the Rfam family "Bacterial large subunit ribosomal RNA", at positions 1 to 2188 of the family's 2925-position model. The record is from RNAcentral.